Molecule: ribosomal RNA, 368 nt
Filed under: uncultured organism
Description: bacterial SSU rRNA
Rfam family: Bacterial small subunit ribosomal RNA
Source: RNAcentral
CGGAGGAUCCAAGCGUUAUCCGGAUUUAUUGGGUUUAAAGGGUGCGUAGGCGGCUUUUUAAGUCAGGGGUGAAAGACGGUAGCUCAACUAUCGCAGUGCCCUUGAUACUGAAGAGCUUGAAUGUACUUGAGGUAGGCGGAAUGUGACAAGUAGCGGUGAAAUGCAUAGAUAUGUCACAGAUCACCAAUUGCGAAGGCAGCUUACUAAAGUAUGAUUGACGCUGAGGCACGAAAGCGUGGGGAUCAAACAGGAUUAGAUACCCUGGUAGUCCACGCCCUAAACGAUGAACACUCGAUGUUGGCGAUAUACGGUCAGCGUCUAAGCGAAAGCGUUAAGUGUUCCACCUGGGGAGUACGCCCGCAAGGGUG